RNAcentral lists this ribosomal RNA (712 nucleotides) under Klebsiella pneumoniae. RNAcentral describes it as "bacterial SSU rRNA". It matches the Rfam family "Bacterial small subunit ribosomal RNA", at positions 64 to 767 of the family's 1533-position model. Lineage: Bacteria; Pseudomonadati; Pseudomonadota; Gammaproteobacteria; Enterobacterales; Enterobacteriaceae. The record is from RNAcentral.
GAGCGGUAGCACAGAGAGAUUGUGCUCCUUUGACCAGCGGGGGACGGGUGAGUGAUGUCUGGGAGACUGCCUGAUGGAGGGGGAGAACUACUGGAAACGGUAGCUAGUACCGCAUAAAGUCGCACGACCAAAGUGAGGGAGCUUCCGGCCUCCCGUGAUCAGAUGUGUCCGCAUGGGAGUAGCUAGUAAGUGGGGGAACGGCUCACCUACGCGAGCAUCCCUCCCUGGUCUGAGAGGAUGACUGACCACACUGGAAGUGAGAGACGGUCCANACUCCUACAGGAGGGAGCAGUGGGGGAUAUUGCUCAAUGGGCGCGAGCCUGAUGCAUCCAUGCCGCGUGUGUGAAGAAAGCCUUCCGGUUGUAAAGCACUUUCUUCGGGGAGGAAGGAGUUGUGGUUAAUAACCUUGUGGAUUGAGGUUACCCGCACAAAAAACACCGGCUAACUCCCUGCCAGCAGCCGCGGUAAUACGGAGGGUGGGAGCGUUAAUCGGAAUUACUGGGCGUAAAGCGCACGCACGCGGGCUGUCAAGUCAGAUGUGUGAUCCCCGGGCUCAACCUGGGAGCUGCAUUCAAAACUGGCAGGCUAGAGUCUUGUAUAGGGGGGUAGAAUUCCAUGUGUGUCGGUGAGAUGCGUGCAGAUCUGUAGGAAUACCGGUGGCGAANGCGGGCCCCUGGACAAANACAGACGCUCACGUGCGAGAGCGUGNGGA